This 3138-nucleotide long non-coding RNA is filed under the name Heterocephalus glaber (naked mole-rat). RNAcentral describes it as "lncRNA (ENSHGLG00000038093.1)". Lineage: Eukaryota; Metazoa; Chordata; Mammalia; Rodentia; Bathyergidae. The record is from RNAcentral.
UGCGGCAGGCUCCCGGCGCCGCGACGUACAGCCCUCUCUGUGACUCGCACCUGGCCUUCUUCAGGUCACACUCGGUGUCAUAGGUCACCCCAUCUGAGCCGCACACCUGCAGGGGUGCGGGUCAGUGUGGCAGCCUCAGCCCUUUACUCACUGCCCACUUGGAGUGCGGGUGCGGAAGUGCUUACUGGGCUCCUCAGGACACUCUGGCAGCUGAAGUCACAGACACACAGCCCAUCCUCUGAGUCCUCGUCCCAGAGGCCACCGCGCUGCUGGCACAGGUCCCGCUCACACUCGCCAUCCUCCCCAGAGCCAGAGCCUCCUGAGCCGCAUUCGGCUACAGAAAGAGAACCGAGUCACCCGGGGGCACCUUCUGGAGGCGGGUGCCCAGCAGCUAACACCAGCGGCCCCAAGCCGACCUUGCUCGCAGGGCCCGGCCCGGGCCUCCUCAAUCUGCACCUGCUGCUGGCAGGCAGCUUCCCGCAGGUCACACGCACUGGGGUAGGUGACUCCGUUGCUGCCACAGACAGGGCCGGGCGGGGGGUCCUCACACCGAGGACAUACACACUGCCCUGCCGAGCACACGGCCCCAAAGGCACACACUGCAUCCCCACACGUCUCUACAGGAGACAGAGCCGGGCAGGGGUCAGCAGAGCUUGGCCAGAGUCCGGGGACCCUGGCCCACCUGGCCUGUCGCCCCACUCACGGCAGGGUCCGGCCGAGACCACGUGCAGGCUGAUCUGCUGUGUACAGGCGUGGACGUGCAGCUCACACUCACUGGCAUAGGUGUGCCCGUCAGAACCACACACAGGCUGGGCUGAGGCCACGCACUCAGAGGGGCAUAUGCAGCGCCCAGUCUCAGCCUCACACAGAGCUCCAAAACGGCACUGGCCACACUGGUCUGGGGAAGGAGCUCAAUCACCAUGCCGGCCAGAAGGGCUAUCCUACCCACCAGACCCACUGCCCACCACCGACCACAGGACCCUCGGCAGGCCACCCAGAUCUCCUGCCCCAGGGCACAGCCAGGGCCCGCAGCUCGCACACGCUGCCGUACAUAUGUGGCACCGUGACUGCCGCACACAGGGAUGCAGGUGCCUGUGCACACCUGCUGGCAUGCACAUGCAGCCUCCCCAGUUUUUACUGCACACGCCCCCCCCCCCCGAAUGCACACUGAACUUCACAGCACGGGGAUGGGGCCUGGGCUGGGGAGGACACAGCACCCAGCCCACCUCAGCCUCCUCACUUGCUGUGGGCAAAGCCCCCAGCCCCACGCAGCAUCCCCCUCCCAGGGUGCGGAUGGCAGAGGACGAGCCAGAUGUGCAGGACACAGCAGGGAAAGGGACAGACACACCACAGAGGCAGAUGGGGACAGAAGCCUCCUAACUGCCCACAGCAGAGCACUGACCGACCCCUGACCACCAGCAGACCCAGGCCACCCAUGGACACGAGGGAUUCUCUCGCCACGGGUGGAAGGAGUCUGCACCCGAGUCACCCCCAGGGCUGCAUGGGGGAGGAGGUGUCUGUCCACUUGCUCUGAGGACCACAAGGCCAGGCAGCAGCGAGCCACCCCCCCAGCCAUGCCGGGGGCAGACCUCGGGCUGUGGGCUCCUGGCGGGCAGGCGCGGCACCUCAUCCUGCCAGCAGGUCAGGCUGGAAGACACAAGAGGCGGAGCCGAGAGGGAAGGACCGGAGGAGACAGACGCAGAAAAAGAGACCAGGAGGGCCGGGGAUUUAGCUCAGUGGUUCCGGCGCCUGCCUCGAAAGCGCAAGGUCCCGAGUUCGAUCCCCAGUACCAAAAAAAAAAAAAAAGUGAAAGAGAGACCAGAAAGAUGGACAGUGCACUGACAGAGUCGGACAGAGGCAGGCAGGGCUACAGCAGCCCUGGCCCCCAUGGGACACACCUACCACUGCCCGGCUGCCUCCACCCUCCCCUGGCCCCUUGGAUCCCAAUGGAGAUGCUGCCUAAGGAGGCUGGUGGCCAUGUCCCAGGAGUGUGGGAAGCCUGGUGUCAUGUCCACUCCUGCCAACCCAGGCUGUCUGUGCCCUCCUGCAGGACAAGACUGAUGGAGAGGUGGGGCAGAGGGCUGGCAGUGACCAGCGUGGGCAAGGGUGGGCCUGCGUCUGUCCCACUCGCCAGAGGUCCCGGACACCCACGCCAGAGCCUCCCAUCACCCGGAGCGACUCCCCUGGCCCAGAGUCCAGGAGGUGUAAGAUGAGCGAUGAAGAUGGCAUGUGAAGUCAGACAAGGACCGACGCGGGAGCAGGGGCUCACCACACAGGCCCUGGUGCUUGGUGGGUAUGGCACGCUGCUGCCGACACUCUGCCUGCUGGCGCCAACAGUCAUUGUCAUAUGUGCGGCCAUCCUGGGCACACACGGGCCUGUAGGCCCCGUCACAGGUGACGCGGUCACAGGAGCAGUGGGGACGGCCACGGCGAGACAGGCACACAGCAUUGAACUGGCAAGGCUCAGGGCACUGGUCUGCGGGCAGGCAAGGAGAUUGGAGAGGCCAGAGCAUCAGUCCCACGCCCGCACCAGCAGGAACCUGUAGGCUCACAGGUAGUGGCGGCGACAUGGUGUGCCAGGGAUGGCAGUCACAUGGGAGAGGAACUGGGAGCCACGCACCUCGAGGCUGGCACUGGCCAGAACGCACUUUCUGGAGGAGCAGGCCCCGGAGCACCCCAGUGCGGCCCAUGAUGCAGUCGUUUUCAUAAGUGACCCCGUUGUCCCCGCACACAGGUGAGUGCCGGGGAGGGCAGCUGCCCGGCCGCAGAAGCAUCUCCGGGCGCCGUGUGCGGGGGUUCACACGACAGAUGCGGCUCCGGUCAGCGAGGGCUCCCUGGCAGGGGUCUGCAAUGGGAGGCCAAGUCAGGCUGGUCGUCGCAUUCAUGCAUGGCCGGGGCAGCACAUGCAGGGGGCAGCGGGCUGCACUCACCACAGGGGCCGUCGAACUUCUUAGAGAUGUUUUCCUGGCGUGCACAGGCGUGGCGCAGCAGCUGGCACUCACUAGGGUAGUCGGUACCGUCAGUGCCACACACCGUGCCCUCUGGGGCCCCGUGGCAGUCUGCCCAUCAGCCAGGAGUGCACACGUGCUGCCAAAGCUGCAGGUCACGUUGGCGCAGGGGUCCCUGGACCCUGUGGGC